This 349-nucleotide RNase P RNA is filed under the name Pseudomonadales bacterium. RNAcentral's name for it is "RNase P RNA component class A". It matches the Rfam family "Bacterial RNase P class A". From Rfam's summary of the family: Ribonuclease P (RNase P) is a ubiquitous endoribonuclease, found in archaea, bacteria and eukarya as well as chloroplasts and mitochondria. Its best characterised activity is the generation of mature 5'-ends of tRNAs by cleaving the 5'-leader elements of precursor-tRNAs. Cellular RNase Ps are ribonucleoproteins. Lineage: Bacteria; Pseudomonadati; Pseudomonadota; Gammaproteobacteria; Pseudomonadales. The record is from RNAcentral.
CGAGCCAACCGAGGCAAUCGCUAUUACAUCUUUCUGGGUGUGGUAGAGGAAAGUCCGGGCUCCAAAGGGUAAGGUGCCAGGUAACUCCUGGGGAGCGUAAGCUCACGGCAAGUGCAACAGAAAAUAUACCGCCCACAGCUGUGGGUAAGGGUGAAAUGGUGCGGUAAGAGCGCACCGCGCGUGCGGUAACGGGCGUGGCAGUGUAAACCCCACCUGGAGCAAGACCAAAUAGGAAUCCUUUGGCGUGACCCGCGCUGGAUUCGGGUAGGUUGCUUGAGGUAUGCAGUGAUGCAUAUCCCAGAUGAAUGAUUGUCCACGACAGAACCCGGCUUAUCGGCUGACUCAACUA